RNAcentral lists this ribosomal RNA (405 nucleotides) under uncultured bacterium. Its description in RNAcentral is "bacterial SSU rRNA". It matches the Rfam family "Bacterial small subunit ribosomal RNA", at positions 355 to 774 of the family's 1533-position model. The record is from RNAcentral.
UGGGGGAUAUUGCACAAUGGAGGAAACUCUGAUGCAGCGACGCCGCGUGAGGGAAGAAGGUCUUCGGAUUGUAAACCUCUGUCUUUGGGGACGAAGAAAGUGACGGUACCCAAAGAGGAAGCCACGGCUAACUACGUGCCAGCAGCCGCGGUAAUACGUAGGUGGCGAGCGUUGUCCGGAAUUACUGGGUGUAAAGGGUGCGUAGGCGGACUGGCAAGUUGGAUGUGAAAUCUCCGCGCUUAACGUGGAGGUUGCAUUCAAAACUGUUGGUCUUGAGUGAGGCAGAGNCAGGCGGAAUUCCCGGUGUAGCGGUGAAAUGCGUAGAGAUCGGGAGGAACACCAGUGGCGAAGGCGGCCUGCUGGGCCUUAACUGACGCUGAGGCACGAAAGCAUGGGUAGCAAACA